AGAGUUUGAUCAUGGCUCAGAAUCAACGCUGGCGGCGUGCCUAACACAUGCAAGUCGAGCGAGAAAGGGUAGCAAUACCUGAGUAAAGCGGCGCACGGGUGAGUAACACGUGGGUAAUCUGCCCUGGAGUGGGGAAUAACACCGGGAAACCGGUGCUAAUACCGCAUACGAUCGUGAUGUUUUCGGAUGUUGCGAUGAAAGGAGCAAUUCGCUCCAGGAGGAGCCCGCGGCUGAUUAGCUAGUUGGUGAGGUAAUGGCUCACCAAGGCUACGAUCAGUAUCCGGUCUGAGAGGACGGUCGGACACACUGGAACUGAGACACGGUCCAGACUCCUACGGGAGGCAGCAGUGGGGAAUUUUUCGCAAUGGGGGCAACCCUGACGAAGCAACGCCGCGUGGGUGAUGAAGUCUCUUGGGACGUAAAACCCUUUCGACGGGGAAGAAACCGCAAGGUUGACGGUACCCGUAGAAGAAGCCCCGGCUAACUCCGUGCCAGCAGCCGCGGUAAUACGGGGGGGGCGAGCGUUGUUCGGAAUUACUGGGCGUAAAGGGCGCGUAGGCGGUCUAUUAAGUUGGAUGUGAAAACUCUGGGGCUUAACUCAGAGCCUGCAUUCAAAACUGAUAGGCUGGAGUUCUGGAGGGGAUAGCGGAAUUCCUGGUGUAGCGGUGAAAUGCGUAGAUAUCAGGAGGAACACCGGUGGCGAAGGCGGCUAUCUGGACAGAAACUGACGCUGAGGCGCGAAAGCUAGGGGAGCAAACAGGAUUAGAUACCCCGGUAGUCC
This 781-nucleotide ribosomal RNA is filed under the name uncultured bacterium. Its description in RNAcentral is "bacterial SSU rRNA". It matches the Rfam family "Bacterial small subunit ribosomal RNA", at positions 8 to 796 of the family's 1533-position model. The record is from RNAcentral.